This 882-nucleotide ribosomal RNA is filed under the name Triticum aestivum (bread wheat). Its description in RNAcentral is "partial small subunit ribosomal RNA". Lineage: Eukaryota; Viridiplantae; Streptophyta; Magnoliopsida; Poales; Poaceae. The record is from RNAcentral.
AUGCAAUUUUUAUUAUAUUUGGAGUGUUGUGUACCUCUGUUGAACUUUCUUAAUAAAUCUGGGUCCUUCUCAAAAAAAAAGUAUAACAAUAAGUCACCCCCUCGUCUUAGUUAUUUCCCCGUAGACCCAAUCCAGCACCAGCACUAUUCCUCGCCGCCGCUGCAGCCGCGCGCUCAGAUGCAAAUCCCCCGCGCUGUUCUACGUCUCGUCCGACGCCCUGACGUCGCCACCCCGAUGCACCGCCUCUCAUCUCCCUCGGGACAUCUCUCUUCCAUGGCGUCUCGCCGUCGCCGGUGGCCACCGACGCUUGCGCGACGACUCGUGGCGGCUCCCAGUCCACCUGUCCGGCGUGCUUCCUCGGAGGCUACUUGGGGCCAAGAUGUGAACCCCAAUGGCUGCGAGGACGAUCCAAGGAGCGCAACCAAGGGUCGCACGACUGAGAUCGUGAUCAAGGAGGACGAAGAAGUCAGCGACUACGAGUACCCCAUCGACCGCGUGCUUGGAAAGAGCAGGCACCGUGAUGGCUCUAUGUACAGGGCUAUGGGUGAUGUUUACUGGAAAAAAGAGUAUCGUGUCGCAGACCGCAGCGAGAUUUGCUUGGUGUGUGGACAGGGCCAAAGGACAAGAUGCUUCAAUCCGGCGAGGACAGAGCCAAAUGACCAAAGUUUGUUCAUCUGUUGCCAAGGUGACCCCUCUCCUCCUCCUCUCUAUUUUUUGUUCAUUUUCUCAUAUGAUCUGAUGCAUGCUCUCUUGCUUGGUGUGUGUGCAGUUUGGUACCAUCCCGUGGGGAGGGCCAGGGACAAGCUGCUCCGAUCCGGCGAGGAUUCCCACCAUCUAUUGUUAAGGGCGUCCGUGGAAGGCCCAGUCCUGACUCUCCAGUGA